This 380-nucleotide ribosomal RNA is filed under the name uncultured eukaryote. RNAcentral's name for it is "partial 18S ribosomal RNA". It matches the Rfam family "Eukaryotic small subunit ribosomal RNA", at positions 592 to 976 of the family's 1831-position model. The record is from RNAcentral.
CAAUAGCGUAUAUUAAAGUUGUUGCAGUUAGAACGCCCGUAGUCGGAUUUCGGGGCGUUCCGACCGGUCUGCCGAUGGGUAUGCACUGGCCGGAGUGUCCUUUUUGCCGGAGACCGUGCCUACUCUUAACUGAGCGGGGGCGGGAGACGGCACUUUUACUUUGAAAAAAUCAGAGUGUUUCAAGCAGGCAGCUCGCUCUUGCAUGGAUUAGCAUGGGAUAAUGAAAUAGGACUUUGGUGCUAUUUUGUUGGUUUCGAACACCGAAGUAAUGAUGAGAAGGGACAGUCAGGGGCACUCGUAUUCCGCAGAGAGAGGUGAAAUUCUCAGACCCGCGGAAGACGAACCACUGCGAAAGCAUUUGCCAGGGAUGUUUUCACUGA